Molecule: long non-coding RNA, 2080 nt
Filed under: Gigantopelta aegis
Lineage: Eukaryota; Metazoa; Mollusca; Gastropoda; Neomphalida; Peltospiridae
Description: uncharacterized LOC121369407
Source: RNAcentral
UGCAAUUCUGUAAAAAAAGAAUUAAAAGUUAAGAAAUCUGAGCUAUUUGUUGAUUGCAGUCCUAUAAAAAAGAAUCAACUGGAAAGCACUGUUGCUGUUGAAAUUGGAGGAAUAACCAUAACUGAAGACUUUUUAAACCUUAUUCUUGAUACAGAUAGGUGUCUAAACAGCAACCACAUUAAUGUAUACAUGAUUGCACUGCAAAAGCAACUGAAACAUCAAGAUAUUCACAUGGUAGACUGUGGUUGGUUUAGUCAAAAGCUGUUGGUUCAUUGUAAUACCCAUCAACCAAGAUGGACAAUUCAUAUACCAGAAAGUAAAAAUAAGAGAUGGUGGGAUUAUAGAUAUGUAGUUAUUCCAUUAAAUGAAAAUAACAACCAUUGAACUGUAGUAAUGAUGGACACAUUACAUAAUAUAUUAUAUUAUUGUGACUCAUUUGGGCGAAGAAAUGACUUGGUUAUUUUUCAGAUAACCAGAUACUUGAUGUUUGAACACGCAAUGUGCUUUGGAAAGCCCUUAAAUGUUAAAGCUUGGUCUUUGGUUAUUUACUCAGAAAUGCCCGGUUUCAGUCGACAGACAGAUUCAAGUAGUUGUGGGGUGUAUGUUUGCGCAAUGGCAAAAGCGAUUUUAACAAACAAAUGUGUUCCUAAAUGCCCUAACCUGCAUUUCUACAGAAGGCAGAUAGUUCGAGAAAUACUGCAAUACAAGUGAGAUGAAUAUUUAUGAAGUUAUGUCGGGCAUGAAUAAUUUUCAAUUUUUUUUUUUUUUUUUUAUUACUAGCAUUAAUUUUGUUUAGUAUUACUUUAAUUCAAUGUUUAAUUAUAAUUUAUAUUGAUGUUUAUCAUGUUGCAGAAGUGGGUUGGUGUUUCAUUUCAUUGACACAAAUCAUUCUGAACAAUCUCACUUAGUAAUGCAUGAAUCGUACUUACUUACAUUAUAAAUUUAAAGGGGUUUUUUUGGGUUUUUUUUUUUCAUAUUUGGAGAUGGCUAAAGAUGGGUUGUGAGUCUAGCUGGGUUACAGCGACCCCAAGAUGAUCAACCUCUUGAUAAAUAACGUGUAAAAUAUGAUGUAGUUUGGGCAUGUUGGAAGAGUUAAAGAAAUUUAAUUGUGAAGUUACAUAAAUGGAUUAUUGUACAUCUUCAAAACUGUGCAACUGAAUACAUACUGGUAUCCUUCUUUUUAAUUACAAAUAUAUACAGUGAUAUAAAUUUUGUUCAACACUUUUAAAUUUAACUAUGGCAGAAAGAAAAUUAGCCAAAUUUAUUGCAGAACAUCAGGUUAAUAUUCCUUCAGUAGAUCCCAGCUGUUUUGCUGUUUUAUUAGCUGACAGCAGGGGAAUAUAUUUGAAAAAUGCACAUAAGGAAUUGCAAUUGCCUGUAGUGUUCCUUUGUGAAAAAGGUGCUCGUACAGCAGUACUUUUUAAUAUUUUGAAAGGCAGGUUGCCUAAAUUAAUUAAAGAGCAUGGCAAACCACCUGUUGUGUAUGUCUGGUCAGGUACCUGCGACAUUACCAAAAUCUUUUCUAAGAAAAGAUACAUUACAUUGAGAGAUGAAACCUCUCGAACAGUACAAGACAAUGUCAGCAUUUACAAGCAGUUAAUGGCCUUUGUCUUAAAUGUGGGUGGGAAAGUUAGGUUUGUCGGUACGACAUUCCACUCAGCUGUUGACUGGAAUGCAUCGAAAGUUAAUUUUUAAUCAUGGAUAGUACAUUUUUAAAAUCACUGAUCCAUGGCUAAGGGAUUUUUUUUUAUAACAUUCUAGAAGCCCUGAGUAUAUGUGAACAACAGUUUCACUAAUUGUUGUAUGGAUAAUUAAAUAAUUAAUUAUUAAAUGUAAUGGUUGAAAAUCUAGCUGGGUUACAGCGAUCCCAAGAUGACUGACCACAUUUUAUAAGUCAUUGGGAAUCUGGGUUUAACUACUUUCAGUUAAUACAUUAUCUUUCUGUCCGUCAAGGUGGCACUAGAAGAAGCGUCUUUCUUCUUGAAUGCAAAAUAAAACUUAGUAGUUAGAAAAACCUUUUUGUUCUCAUACCCUGACUGAUGACCAGUUAUGGUUUCAUGUAUAAAAAAUUACAUGAAAG